Molecule: ribosomal RNA, 253 nt
Filed under: uncultured bacterium
Lineage: Bacteria
Description: partial 16S ribosomal RNA
Rfam family: Bacterial small subunit ribosomal RNA
Source: RNAcentral
UACGAAGGGGGCUAGCGUUGUUCGGAAUUACUGGGCGUAAAGCGCGCGCAGGCGGUCUUCCAAGUCAGUGGUGAAAGCCCGGAGCUCAACUCCGGAACUGCCAUUGAAACUGUAAGACUUGAGGAUGAGAGAGGUGAGUGGAAUUCCCAGUGUAGAGGUGAGAUUCGUAGAUAUUGGGAAGAACACCGGUGGCGAAGGCGGCUCACUGGCUCAUAUCUGACGCUCAGGCGCGACAGCGUGGGGAUCAAACAGG